This 5516-nucleotide unclassified non-coding RNA is filed under the name Leishmania donovani. RNAcentral's name for it is "gene:LdHU3.33.4600(CDS-product:hypothetical_prote in_conserved)". The record is from RNAcentral. Lineage: Eukaryota; Euglenozoa; Kinetoplastea; Trypanosomatida; Trypanosomatidae.
GUUCAGGUUACCAGAGCAAUCUUCAACAGCGCCUCGGAGGCAGGCUCUCUUGGUUUGUUUCUUUCCUGCUACGCUCUCGCUCUCCCCUGAUGGGUUUUGUUUUUGCUUCUCGUGUGCCACCGAUUAUUCGAGAUACAUUUUUUUCCGCACCGCGUCUUCCGUUUCUCGCUCUCGCCCCGUCGGCCUGCUCAUUGUCCUGCCUGCAGGACGAUGUGUGCUGGCCCCUUCCUUCGCCUGCUCUCUUGUGCGUGCGCUGCUACUUCUAUACCGGUGGGCGGGCUCACACGGCUGCCGACUCCCCUCGAGCCUUCCUCUUUUCCCAUCAUCCUCGGCUGAGGCGAUCCGUGCGUACUUGGGCGGUCCUGCCUCGCAUUUCUUAGAACGUCACCUCUACAAAAUGGGGCGACGCAAGCGUGUAGCGCCCAUGGAAACUGCGGAGAUGCGGCGGCACCAGAGCGAGGACGGACGAAGAGGAUCCAUGAGCGCGUGCAGCACAAGUCGCAGCAAUAAGACGAACAGUAGCAUCCAUGCACCAGGCGGUGGUGGUGGUGGUGACCACCUCUCCCACAGAGGUUUUUUCGCCGUGCUGGGGGGCGACCCGGCUCGCGAGCGCACUAGCAAGCACCUCAGUCGCAACCAGUCCAGGAGCGGGCCCUCUUUCCGUCGUCCUUCUCAGCAGCAAGGUGUUGGCGGCGGCCUGCUUCCCAACAGCGGCUUGAGCGUCACUCCGCCCUCGCAGAAGCGUCAGUCUCAACCGUCACAGCAGCCCUACCCUUGUGCACCACAGCGAGAACAGAAACCGUACCCACAGGGCAUAGGGUUUCCCUCUUCGGCGCACCCGAUGAACCCCAGCAACGACCAAACGUGUGACAGUGAUGGCAGUGCACGUCACCACUACAGUGGCUCGAUCCAGCCCGGCGAGUUUUCAGGAAAUCCCUUCGUUGCGCGCCGCAGUAGCCGACUGCUCUUUGCUGCAGGCGGCGCGGCUCAGGAGCCUCAGCAGCAGUACGCUCCUUGUCCGUCAUCUCCAAGGUAUGACAGGAAUUCGAGCAGGCCCACACAAAACGCUCAGGCGCAGCCGUACCCGCCGUACUGCGGCAGCCCUUCGUUUCCGCCGCCGCAGCUCACCAAUGCUCGCCAUCUAGCACCGCUUCCCUACGUAAUGACUCCUCAAGGUAUGAUGGCGCCGCCACUUCUGUAUCUGCUCCCCAUGCACAGCUGUCCCCCCAUGCCCAACAUGCUACCGCAGCAGCAGCAGCAAGCACACUGCUGUGAGAUCCCAGACACGAGCAACGGAGCGGCACCCUCGCAGUACAACGCGAUGAACGGUAACGUGAUGCCUGCUUCACCGCAGGCUCCGUGGGGCUGGCAGCAGCAUGUUCUGCUUGAUCGGCCACAAGCGGUGUCGCCACAGCCAACGCUGGUGAGAUAUCCGUCGUUCCUGGCGGAGAAGAACACUGCGACUAGCGUGGUCCCCACCGCCGCGCCGCCGGCCGCAGCUGAUCCACAAGCAGCGACAAGAGCAGCUGGCGGCAUUCUCUUGCCCCGCACGCAGAGCAUUCUGAAUCGCGUCUCAAGCUUCAAGAAGGCACCGCAGCCUGCGUCAAAGGGCGAUCAGGCGCGUCAGCAAGAGGCCGACAUGCAGCAGCGACUCUGUGCGCGGGAACAGGAGCGACGUCGAUUGGAGCAGGAGAUGCAGGCCCGGGAGGCGGCCAAUAAAGCUGCGCGAGAUCAGCGGCUGCGUGAGCUAUUGCAGCGCCAAGCGUCUCGCAACUUCGCACAGGAGUCAACUACAAAUGCGGCUCCGCGCGUGCCGAUGGAGUCGCCGAAGUCGAGUUGCCUCAGUAACGCUAGCGCCUCGGAGAGUCGCCCAGCGCUUCCAUCCGAACCCGUGCUCGCUCUAAAGCAGGCGUCUCCUGUUCGUUCACCGUCGACUCCUCCGACAACCGACGCACCAGUGCCCCCUCAAGAGCCACGGAAUCAGCAGCUGCCCAUGUCGGUUGCCAGCUUGCACAGCCCCGCCGGAUCACAAGCCAGCAGGGGGAGCCUCGGCAUCACUGCGUCGAGGAGUGGGGAGGCAGCCGUGAUAGCGAAGGGUAAAGGCCCUUCUGGAGGCGCUGGCACUAUCACUGCUGUGGAUGCACCGGCUGCACCAGCGGCGGGGACGCAGCAGCUCUGGCACCGCUCCCCAUCCCUCGUCCUGUACGAGAUUCCGCUGCGCUGCGCCAAGAUGGUGACCGGGAAGGGCGAGGAGCAGAUCGACUGCUCGACGUUCCCGGUGCGGCUCGUUGGCAGCACGCUGCGCGUCAUCGAUGAGGUGAAACAGACAACGACGGAGUAUGCCAUAGACGAGAUUGCCACACAUCGACAGGGCUCGACAUUUGUAGAGUCAAGGCUUCUCCAGAAAGUCGGCGAGGUGCUGGUCGCUGGCUACAGUGCGUCCGUGCUGAGCCUCGACUCGCAGGGACUUGCCAAGCCCCUUGCCGCCUUCGACAGUGCUGCGUGGCUUGCUAAACGGCGCCUGCUCAGGAACGUGAUAAGUACGGUGAAGAACAUGCAGUCUACGUACAGCAAGCAGGUUGGCAACCGAGACUUCUUCGAGGCAGCUUUUUCCUUCGCACUUGUCAAGAAUGUGUCGGGACAGAAGGCAGCUGAGUGGAAAACGACGAACCCUGCUACCACACAGCGAGGGUACGAGGUGGUAGACCUUCUUCAGACCGAGCCAAGGGCUGUCCAGCUCAAGAUGCAUAGCUGCGUCCUGUUUGGCCACCGCAUCGGCGGUGUCGAGUACCGCGCACUGCGCAGCGAAUCAGAGUUCACGAAGGCGCUGGCGAGUGCGCAGGCGAACGCCAACAUCGUGCUGGGCCGCCUGGCCGACGCCGUCGCCGCUGACCCAAACAACGAGGCAACGGCUAGGGAACAGGCAUCUGUCCUUCAGGUGGUAACGUGUGUGCUGACGCACCGCAAGGCUGGCGCCGUGUCGCUGGAGGAGCAGAUGGCGGAGCCUGCCGAGGCGGUGUACAAGCGAGAAGCGGAGAGCGACGUCAUCUCGUCGGAUGACGAAGAUGACGCGAAUGUGCUAGGGGCGUUCCAGUCGCACAAUGUACCGUCUGCCUGCAGCGACAUAAUUAUGAACUGCCUCACCUGCAUCGGUUCUCAGCAGAGCCACCACCUGUGGACCGCUGCAUUGGCGCACGACCAGGGCACGGCGCCCACUUCCCUCUUUGAAUCCGCCUUUGGCGGUCCGGCGUACACGGUGAUUCUCGCCAGUAUGGACCCCACAAAGGUCGAGUCUGCCGCGACACUUGCCACGCAGUCCGCGAUGUCCAUGAAACUGCACCGCCGCCCCCUUAACGGGUCUGCGCGCCGCCUUAUCCGAACCUCCAAGUACAUGACGGCGGCCUUACAGAAGAAAUUGAACAGUGCAAACUGCCCAUCUGGCCCUCAGCAGUGCAACUUAAAGGCUGACAUUUGCAAGUAUGCUGAGGCACUAGACUCGCUCCGUAAAGUGCUGGGCACCAUCGAAGCACGUCGCUUCAGCGUAUCCGGUUCCGCGUAGUGGGGCCGGGCUCUUCAGCCCAUCAAGACGCACACGCACGAAAGCGGGUGGGGGCCGGGAUGCGCACGCACGCACAUGUGAGGUCGAAGAGUCACUCCUUUUGGAAUCAAGGUGGACGCAGCGAUGUGCCGGCAGCACGGCGGGGUGUUUUUUUUUUCGCUUUAGUGCUUGACUGCCGCCUUGGGCAUCGGUGUCUCUCACAUUUCUUCUCUUGGUUUAUUCUUUUGUUCGUCUUUGGCUGCCUGCCAUCAUUUCGGUGCGUGCGUGCUGGAGGCUGAGAGCCACGGGUGGGGCCUCCCUCUUCCUUCCCCUCGCAUCCUCCUUCUUUUCGCCUGAGAAGGCGUCGCCUUCAUCAUUGUAUUUCUUCUUUUUUUUUUCUAUACGGGUUUUGUCCUACCGAUCGGCUUCGCUUUGGGUUGUGUGGGCGCUUCGCGUUCCCUCUCCUUCGCGUGUGUGUGUGUGUAAGUGUGCCAACUCGAGCACGUUCCUCUUCGCGUUUGGAAUGUGAACUAAAAAAAAAUAAAACCACAGAGGAAGCGGCGCACACGUCUUGUUGGUCUUCUUGACACUGCUCAUCUUUUUUUUUUCUCUAUGAUGAAAUCUGGUUUGGUGCAUCACCUCCCCCUCUCGUUCCUCUUGGCCUCUUUGGUGCACCCCUUCAAACUCUUGUGGGCUUACAAUGUGUGUGUGUGCGUGCCUGUGCAGAUCUCCGUCUUGCUCUAUGCGUGCACGUUGGUUUUUUUUUGUUGCCACAGGAGAGUCGUCUGGGUGGUGGUGGUGGCAGCGGGGCGGUGAUGGUGUUGGGAAUUUCGAUGUCUCUGCGAAUCACUUCGUCUUUCCAUUUGCUGUGCUGUGCUUGCGAGUUCUUUUGGAUUUGCUUCUCCCUCUCUCCUGCAGCGUGUGCGCGAGCGGCGGUUUGUCUGCGUCUUGAGUUCGCGGCUCAUGCCACGCGUCCACACACCUCCCCACGCUUCACACGUAAAUACACGUGUGCUUGUGGGUAUACGCGUUUGCGUGAUGUUGGCGGCUUUUCUUUUCUGUCUCUCUCUCUCUUGAUAUUUCGCUAGAUCUGUGGCGGAUUCGGUGUCGCCGAUCUUUUUUUUUUCAUUGUCCUCGCAUCUCUGUCUCUCUCUCUCCUCUGUAUUUCUCCUCUCUUGACACCCCGCAUACCUAUAUGUGAAACACACUGGCACACUCAAGACAUUUUUGCUUCUCGCUGGAGCUGGCAGUGAUAUGUGCAUAACCCUGCGCCGCCCCAGUCGCUGCAUCGCCCUUCCUGAUACCCUUUCUCGACCCCCUUCACUUGUUCAGACACACACACACACACACAGACAAUAGUGAUAUGCCCGGCAUCGCAUCUGAUCUCCCCCACCUUGUAUCCUUUUCUUUCGUUGGUAGGAGUGUCUGCGUUUUGUUAUUCUUCAUGAUUGUACGCAUUUUUCCUUUCCGUUUUUUUUUUUCGAGGCAGCGCUUCGUCUCUUAACCCUGAGCCACCGCCUCUCGUGCUAUUCCUUUCAGCCAAACGUGCAUAUAUACUUUUCUGCUCGCUCAACGCUGUCGCCCUGUGGACGAUGACCAGCACUUUCGAGGUGGAGGCUGGGGGUGGGGUGGGGUGGGGUGGGGGACGAGGGUGCAGAGGUAGCGUUGUUGAUGAUCGAUGUAGCGAAAGACGUGCACGGCGGCAUGUUUGUGAGUUUCUUUCUCUUUCGAAGUUCUUUUUUCCCCUUUCUGUUCCACGUCUGAAUCCGCUGCGUUUUCGCUUCUCUCUCUCUUUAUGUGCAUUUCAUGUGUUUAAUUUUUCCCCCGCUUGCUCGUUGGAUGGCGCGCUCCUAUGUCUGAGACCGCUUUCCCGUUCGCGUUGAAUGCGAGUCCGUGCAAGCGUGCCGUGGAACCUGCUAUCCCCCCCCCUUCUCAUCUUCCUCUGUCGUUCCCUUGCCUUUCCGCUUAUCUUCUACAG